AGGUAGCCAGCAUUUUCGUUCCUAUUGUCAUCACCCCGUCCUUCUUGACAUUCCUUGCAUGGUUUCUAUGUGGAUGGUUGGGAGCAUAUCCAAACUCAUGGUCUGCUGAAAGUAGCAAUUGCUUUGUUUUCUCACUCAUGUUCUCCAUAUCUGAUGUGUCUUAUUAUGAUUAUGGAUAAGACUUUUGUGAUGUAAUUGAUGAGACUAUGGAUUUAAAUAUUGUUAUGUGAUUGUGUGUGAGAUGUUUUAUGUGAAAA
Molecule: long non-coding RNA, 257 nt
Organism: Zea mays
Lineage: Eukaryota; Viridiplantae; Streptophyta; Magnoliopsida; Poales; Poaceae
Exons: 2
Source: RefSeq, a predicted model, not a curated record